GAAGAUGAACACUGGUGCUCCGUGGGAUGAGGUAGUAGAUUGUAUAGUUUUAGGGUCAUACCCCGUCUUGGAGAUAACUAUACAGUCUACUGUCUUUCCCACGGUAGUACAUUGCCCGCCGA
Molecule: microRNA precursor, 122 nt
Filed under: Pteropus vampyrus (large flying fox)
Lineage: Eukaryota; Metazoa; Chordata; Mammalia; Chiroptera; Pteropodidae
Description: microRNA let-7f-2 (ENSPVAG00000026513.1)
Rfam family: let-7 microRNA precursor family (bases 22-102)
About the family: This family represents the microRNAs (miRNA) let-7 and mir-98. let-7 was identified from a study of developmental timing in C. elegans, and was later shown to be part of a much larger class of non-coding RNAs termed miRNAs. The extents of the hairpin precursors are not generally known and are estimated based on hairpin prediction.
Source: RNAcentral